RNAcentral lists this ribosomal RNA (468 nucleotides) under uncultured bacterium. RNAcentral describes it as "partial 16S ribosomal RNA". It matches the Rfam family "Bacterial small subunit ribosomal RNA", at positions 28 to 507 of the family's 1533-position model. The record is from RNAcentral.
GACGAACGCUGGCGGCGUGCUUAACACAUGCAAGUCGAACGGAAAGGCCCUGCUUUGCUGGGGUGCUCGAGUGGCGAACGGGUGAGUAACACGUGAGUAACCUGCCCUUGACUUUGGGAUAACUUCAGGAAACUGGGGCUAAUACCGGAUAGGAGCUCCUGCUGCAUGGUGGGGGUUGGAAAGUUUCGGCGGUUGGGGUUGGACUCGCGGCUUAUCAGCUUGUUGGUGGGGUAGUGGCUUAGCAAGGCUAUGACGGGUAGCCGGCCUGAGAGGGUGACCGGCCACAUUGGGACUGGGAUGGGGCCCAGAGUCCUACGUGGGGCAUCGGUGGGGGAUAGUGCACAAUGGGCGGAGGCCUGAUGCAGCAACGCCGCGUGGUGGAUGACUGCCUUCGGGUUGUAAAGCGCUUUCGCCUGUGACGAAGCGUGAGUGACGGUAAUGGGUAAAGAAGCACCGGCUAACUACGUG